AGGAAUUGGCCCAGAAAACCUUCAACUUCUGGGAAAUGAAACAGGGGGAUUGUGUGGAUGACCUGAAGCCUUCCCUUAUAUCAAAGAUAACUUUUAAGCACUUUGAAGAAAGUUGGGAUGGGGAUAAGGGCAGGGGAAGAGACCCUAAGAUUGUAUGCUUCCGGAAUAAUCUUUUCCAGUGUACAGGUCUCACCAUGCCAUUCCCUGGCUUAAGAGCCUUUAGUGACUGUCUAUUGCCACAAAGACAAAAUACAAACUCUGCAGCCUCACUCUAUUUUAAGCUGUUUUUAAGGUAGAAAAAUAUUCUGUAUGAAGAAAUGUUUUGUGAAAAUUUUUGUGUGAUUUUUAGAAGGCCUACUAAAUUUUCAUUUGCAAGCUAAUUUAUUGCGAUGAUAAUUUGAUAUUGAUAACAAGCAUGUCUAAAUCCACUGUGAAUUUCCAAGUUUCAUUCCUAGGUUUGUUGUAUCCUUGCACUAAUCUUAAAUAGGUGUUUUCAGAGAACAGAGUCAGUCAGCAGCUCAAUGGAAGCAACAUCAGAGAUCUAAGGCUAGUAAUUAAUACUAAAGCAUCUAAAUUAUUGUAAUAAACUGAGAAGUGGGAAAGUU
This is a non-coding RNA of Phascolarctos cinereus (koala), 605 nucleotides long. Lineage: Eukaryota; Metazoa; Chordata; Mammalia; Diprotodontia; Phascolarctidae. The record is from RefSeq and is a predicted model, not a curated record.